This 231-nucleotide long non-coding RNA is filed under the name Lathyrus oleraceus (garden pea). RNAcentral describes it as "Pisum sativum (pea) long non-coding RNA (PSAT_LNC007294)". Lineage: Eukaryota; Viridiplantae; Streptophyta; Magnoliopsida; Fabales; Fabaceae. The record is from RNAcentral.
UCUUGACUCAACAACAACUCUCUUUUUUUCUAAAUUUUCACCAACUCCUGUUUCAAUCACUCUCCCACUCCUGGAUGUUAUUGACUUGCAAUGUUCCUUGGGAUUUAUGGGAGCGUUAGUGGUGAAUGUCCCUCCUUGUUAUUCAGCUAGCUGCUCUGCAAUUUUCCUUACUUGUAUUUCAAGAUUCUUGAUCUAUGCAUAUGUAAUUUUCUCUGAUUUGUAAUAGACAAU